GUCCACGGCCAUGCCCCCCUGAACAAGCCCAAUCCUGUCUGAUCUCGGAAGCUAAGCAAGGUCAGGCCUGGUUAGUAUUUGGAUGGGAGACUACUUAGGAAGACCAUGUGCUGUAGGCA
This is a non-coding RNA of Pteropus alecto (black flying fox), 119 nucleotides long. Lineage: Eukaryota; Metazoa; Chordata; Mammalia; Chiroptera; Pteropodidae. The record is from Rfam.